This 200-nucleotide unclassified non-coding RNA is filed under the name Helotiales sp. RNAcentral describes it as "partial internal transcribed spacer 2". The record is from RNAcentral. Lineage: Eukaryota; Fungi; Ascomycota; Leotiomycetes; Helotiales.
UUAAGUUCAGCGGGUAUCCCUACCUGAUCCGAGGUCAACCUUGAAGAGUAGAGGGUUCCUGGCAAGACACCGUCGGACAUCUAUAGCGAGGAGUAUUACUACGCUUAGAGCCAGACGGCACCGCCACUAACUUUAAGGCCCGCCCGGAGGCGAAAGGCCCAAGACCCAAGCAUAAGCCUAGAUUGGUUUAAAUGACGCUC